RNAcentral lists this ribosomal RNA (564 nucleotides) under Tolypocladium ophioglossoides. RNAcentral's name for it is "eukaryotic LSU rRNA". The stretch from base 199 to 352 matches the Rfam family "5.8S ribosomal RNA". The record is from RNAcentral. Lineage: Eukaryota; Fungi; Ascomycota; Sordariomycetes; Hypocreales; Ophiocordycipitaceae.
UCCGUAGGUGAACCUGCGGAGGGAUCAUUACAGAGUUCGUGCCCUAACGGGUAGAUCUCCCACCCUGUGUUAUUAUUACCAUGUUGCUUUGGCGGGACGUAGAGGCUCGCCCUCUCCACCGGCUUCGGCUGGUGUGUGACCGCCAGAGGACCCAAAACCCUGAAUAUUAGUGUCGUCUGAGUACUAUAUAAUAGUUAAAACUUUCAACAACGGAUCUCUUGGUUCUGGCAUCGAUGAAGAACGCAGCGAAAUGCGAUAAGUAAUGUGAAUUGCAGAAUUCAGUGAAUCAUCGAAUCUUUGAACGCACAUUGCGCCCCUUGGUAUUCCGGGGGGCAUGCCUGUUCGAGCGUCAUUACAACCCUCAAGCUCGGCUUGGUAUUGGGCUCUCGCCGUUCACGCGGCGGGCCUUAAAAUCAGUGGCGGUGCCGUCGUGGCCCUGAGCGCAGUAAAUAUCCUCGCUAUAGGGACCCGGUGGUUACUGGCCAGCAACCCCCAACUUUCUAAGUUUGACCUCGGAUCAGGUAGGGAUACCCGCUGAACUUAAGCAUAUCAAUAAGCGGAGGA